Molecule: long non-coding RNA, 998 nt
Organism: Argiope bruennichi
Lineage: Eukaryota; Metazoa; Arthropoda; Arachnida; Araneae; Araneidae
Exons: 3
Source: RefSeq, a predicted model, not a curated record
UAUCUGAUGCUUUUAAAAAGCGAGAAUUGGAAUUGGAAUCUCUUGCGAUUGAAUCAUGAAACAGAGAUCCAGCAGAUUUAAGGGAUAGUUUGAGCUUGGACUAAUAUUUCAAGCUUUACAAAAUCUCAUCUUCAGGACCAAAAAUUUAUUGAAACGUAAAAGCUAUACUCAUAUUUAUUGAAAGCGAAAGAAAUGCUUCUCUCCCUAUUCCACACAGGUGAUUUCUAAGUGACGAAAGUGCCAUAAUUUCCUGGAUUUUGUAUGUGUAAUCUGUGAUAAGAACCAUGGGGAUUCUCUUUGCAUUAUUUUAAAUAAAUGAACAGAAGGAAGAAAUUUUAAUUUGAAUGAUUUUUUUUGUAGCGACAAUAGCAAGAACUUUAAUAGCAAUUUAAACAAUUUUAUGUAUACUAGAAAGAUUUUGCUCGAUUAUUUCCUUUUUACUCAAGUGAGACAGGAUGUCAUCUCAAUAUAAAAAAAGGAGGAAAAAGCGCCUGCAACUGACACUAGAGCAUCGAACUGUGCAGAAAAUAUCCGAUGGCAUUUAUUAGAACAAUGGUAUAACAUAACUCUUAUGUGGAAUGAAUGCCCUUUCAGCUCCAGUCGUAAAGUAUCUGUACAUAAUAUGUAGAAGGUAUCUAGAUGUCCCGGAAUCAAAGUCAUCGAAGUAAUAUGGUUUAGGUAUUCUGUCAGACAAUUCAUGGCCAUAAAUGCAACUUUUCUGGCUAAAAGAUGUUGGUGCGUUUCGACCGAAGUGAUCAUGCCAUAACAUACAGCAUCUGAAGUUUCUAUUAAGCGCAAAUUGGAAUUUGGAGCCUUUGCAGUUAAUUAUGUAUGUCCGGAAAACAACUUAUGCGGUUGGUUUGUAAAGUUAUGAAAUGUAUAUUUACUACCAAAAAUGUAAUUUGCUUAAUGUGUAUUUACUAACAAAAAUUAUCAGUCUAUAUAGUGGAAAUGUUUUUACAAAUGUAAUAAUCGUUAUUUGAGGAUAUCAAAACAUC